CGGUACGUACUAGCAUUGUUGGUUUCUCCCUUCUGACGAAUCACGAUGUCAUUUAUUUGGUGUUGUGGGGAAUCAGGACUGUUACUUUGAAAAAAUUAGAGUGUUUAAAGCAGGCUCACGCUUGAAUACAUUAGCAUGGAAUAAUGAAAUAGGACGUUUGAUUCUAUUUUGUUGGUUUCUAGGAUCGACGUAAUGAUUAAUAGGGAUAGUUGGGGGCAUUAGUAUUCAAUUGUCAGAGGUGAAAUUCUUGGAUUUAUUGAAGACUAACUACUGCGAAAGCAUUUGCCAAGGAUGUUUUCAUUAAUCAAGAACGAAAGUUAGGGGAUCGAAGACGAUCAGAUACCGUCGUAGUCUUAACCAUAAACUAUGCCGACUAGGGAUCGGAUGAUGUUAAUUUUUUAAUGACUCAUUCGGCGCCUUACG
Molecule: ribosomal RNA, 423 nt
Filed under: uncultured Glomeromycotina
Lineage: Eukaryota; Fungi; Glomeromycota
Description: SSU rRNA
Rfam family: Eukaryotic small subunit ribosomal RNA
Source: RNAcentral